GAUGAACGCUAGCUACAGGCUUAGCACAUGCAAGUCGAGGGGAAACGACAUCGAAAGCUUGCUUUUGAUGGGCGUCGACCGGUGCACGGGUGAGUAACGCGUAUCCAACCUGCCCAUCACUUGGGAAUAACCUUGCGAAAGUAAGACUAAUACCCAAUGAUAUCCCACGAAGGCAUCGGAAUGGGAUUAAAGAUUUAUCGGUGAUGGAUGGGGAUGCGUCUGAUUAGCUUGUUGGCGGGGUAACGGCCCACCAAGGCAACGAUCAGUAGGGGUUCUGAGAGGAAGGUCCCCCACAUUGGAACUGAGACACGGUCCAAACUCCUACGGGAGGCAGCAGUGAGGAAUAUUGGUCAAUGGGCGAGAGCCUGAACCAGCCAAGUAGCGUGCAGGAAGACGGCCCUAUGGGUUGUAAACUGCUUUUAUAAGGGAAUAAAGUGGGUCACGUGUGACUUUUUGCAUGUACCUUAUGAAUAAGGACCGGCUAAUUCCGUG
RNAcentral lists this ribosomal RNA (492 nucleotides) under uncultured bacterium. RNAcentral describes it as "partial 16S ribosomal RNA". It matches the Rfam family "Bacterial small subunit ribosomal RNA", at positions 28 to 507 of the family's 1533-position model. The record is from RNAcentral.